This 554-nucleotide ribosomal RNA is filed under the name uncultured bacterium. RNAcentral describes it as "partial 16S ribosomal RNA". It matches the Rfam family "Bacterial small subunit ribosomal RNA", at positions 355 to 900 of the family's 1533-position model. The record is from RNAcentral.
UAGGGAAUCUUCCACAAUGGACGCAAGUCUGAUGGAGCAACGCCGCGUGAGUGAAGAAGGUCUUCGGAUCGUAAAGCUCUGUUGUUGGUGAAGAAGGAUAGAGGCAGUAACUGGUCUUUAUUUGACGGUAAUCAACCAGAAAGUCACGGCUAACUACGUGCCAGCAGCCGCGGUAAUACGUAGGUGGCAAGCGUUGUCCGGAUUUAUUGGGCGUAAAGCGAGCGCGGGCGGAAUGAUAAGUCUGAUGUGAAAGCCCACGGCUCAACCGUGGAACUGCAUCGGAAACUGUCAUUCUUGAGUGCAGAAGAGGAGAGUGGAACUCCAUGUGUAGCGGUGGAAUGCGUAGAUAUAUGGAAGAACACCAGUGGCGAAGGCGGCUCUCUGGUCUGCAACUGACGCUGAGGCUCGAAAGCAUGGGUAGCGAACAGGAUUAGAUACCCUGGUAGUCCAUGCCGUAAACGAUGAGCGCUAGGUGUUGGGGACUUUCCGGUUCUCAGUGCCGCAGCAAACGCAUUAAGCGCUCCGCCUGGGGAGUACGACCGCAAGGUUGAAAC